RNAcentral lists this long non-coding RNA (1158 nucleotides) under Oncorhynchus kisutch (coho salmon). RNAcentral's name for it is "lncRNA (ENSOKIG00005027263.1)". The record is from RNAcentral. Lineage: Eukaryota; Metazoa; Chordata; Actinopteri; Salmoniformes; Salmonidae.
AUCUUUGUUGUCAGGAGGAACGGUCUUUAGAAGUCAGAUGUGUUUUUUAUUUAGUUAAGAAUAAACAACACUAUAUACAAUUCAGACACAAUCACAUCAUUAAACCAACACAGUAAAUGAUAACAGAUUUCAAUUACACCAAACAUCACACUAGACAAGUCAUCAUCAUCAUCAUUAUCAUCAUCAUCAACACCAUCAUCAUCACCAUCAUCAUCAUCAUCAUCAUCAUCAUCACCACCAUCAUCAUCAUCUAAAUAAUAAUAUUAAUAACAAUAGUAAUAAUAAUUAUAACUAUCAUAAUAAUAGUAACAACAACAACAAUAAUAAUAAUCUAUUGGGUGGUUGGGCUUGUUGCCGUGGUUAUUGAGUACUGAUGGUGAAUGUCGUCACUAAGUAAAACACAACAGAUGAGGAAAUCUGAUCAGACAGAUCAGAAAAGGAAGAGUUGUUUCUCAGACAGCUCCAUGACACUGUUCCAUGACACUGUUCCAUGACACUGUUCCAUGACACUGUUCCAUGACACUGUUCCAUGACACUGUUCCAUGACACUGUUCCAUGACACUGUUCCAUGACACUGUUCCAUGACACUGUUCCAUGUGUCUCUGAUGCUGAUGGAUUUACAAAUGUUUUUUCGUCAAUGAUCAGGUGUUGUUGUAUUUUAUUAUCAGACUUCACCCCUAUAGUGAGACUCGCUGUCGGUUUUGAGCAGGGCAUUUGACAUUCACCAACGUCCUCCUAAAUUGCAAAUCAAGUGGUCGCUACUGUGUGUAUGGCCCAUGUGAUUGGUAGCCAAUGACUCAGGUGUCUCUGGGGCCUUUUCUCGUUUGGGCAAAAGUCAGUCUUCCGUCCUCUCUCCUCCGUCCUCUCUCCUCCGUCCUCUCUCCUCCGUCCUCUCUCCUCCGUCCUCUCUCCUCCGUCCUCUCUCCUCCGUCCUCUCACCUCCGUCCUCUCUCCUCCGUCCUCUCUCCUCCGUCCUCUCUCCUCCGUCCUCUCUCCUCCGUCCUCUCUCCUCCGUCCUCUCACCUCCGUUCUCUCUCCUCUUUUCUGUCUCAUCCGAAACUGAUGGAGGAGAAAGGACGCAGAAGUAGAGCAAAUCUAACUGAGAAAAGGCCUGGGUCUUUAAGUGUCUGUAUGUCUCUUGUGAUUGGUUGCCAGUGA